AGGGAUAUAGCUCAGUGGCACAGCACCUGCCUGGCAAGCACGGGGUCCUGGGUUCGAGUCCCAGUAUCCCAA
Transfer RNA from Cavia porcellus (domestic guinea pig), 72 nucleotides. It matches the Rfam family "tRNA". From Rfam's summary of the family: Transfer RNA (tRNA) molecules are approximately 80 nucleotides in length. Their secondary structure includes four short double-helical elements and three loops (D, anti-codon, and T loops). The record is from Rfam. NCBI's taxonomy places the organism in Eukaryota, Metazoa, Chordata, Mammalia, Rodentia, Caviidae.